GAAGAAUAAGCAGGAACAACACUGCUGUGAGAAAACCAGCGAGAAGCCUUUCUCUGCCUCCAUAUCCAUUAGUGGAACCUUGGGAUACCAACACUUCCCACUGAAACCACCUGAAGGGAUGAGGAAUGGUCAUUCCCAGCAGCCCAGGAGCUGCCCUGGCUGUGCCAAUCAGGCUCUGUCAGAAGUCCUCCCGUGUACUCAACAGUAAGUUCCUGGCACCAGGAGGGAACGUUUGGUAAAAGUGCUCCCGUGCAAGCAGUGAACUCUCCACCGUGCUGUGCAGGACGCCCCUGGCAGCAGCAUCUUCUCCUCUCUGAGUUAAAACCCAGCUGAAUAAAUCUGAUGACAGCUAAGUCACCCAAAGCCCUGCUGGAUGCUCAAACAAAACAUCCUGUCUGUUUUCUACUAAAGUUGCUCUGAAUCACAGGGAGGUUUCCAUGAAAGUACAGCAAUGAUGGGGUUCUGAGCAGCCUGAUCUCUUGGAUGGUGUCGCUGGUUAUGGCGGGGAGUUGGAAUGAG
Zonotrichia albicollis (white-throated sparrow) is the source of this 519-nucleotide non-coding RNA. The record is from RefSeq and is a predicted model, not a curated record. NCBI's taxonomy places the organism in Eukaryota, Metazoa, Chordata, Aves, Passeriformes, Passerellidae.